AUGGCGUGGAAGCUGCCGAUCCCUGCCAGCCUAGCUCUGCUGCUCGGUACCCUUGGCAGGAUGGCCGGGCCGGCGCCCAGGGCUGCAGGUGCUGUGCCAGAGAGACUCGGGGGGAUGUGCUACCACCUGGUCCGGGAAAAGAUGCCUUAUGGCAGAGCCUGGGUUGCCUGCGGGCGUUGGGGGAGCCGCCUGGCCCACGUCCAUCGGGCAGCAACGCGGGAGGCUCUGAGGACAGAGCUGGCAGGUGCCCCGAGCUGGUGGGUGGCCACAGAGGACCCUCUUGGCACAGGGAUCCGGCUUUGGCCGAAGGAGAGCCAUCAUCCUAGGCGCCUUCCGGCCUGUGCUUUCCUUUCCAGAUGGGGGAUGCUGCAGAGGGGCCUGGGCGCCGUGUGCCUGGAGAGGCGCCCCGUUAUAUGUGAAUUUGGACCUGGGCAGGGGGCCGAGUGCCCGCUCCAAAGAGCCAGGAGCCCCACAGUCAGGGCUGGGAAAACCCCAGAGACUCACCAGGUAGGUACAGCCAGCGCUCUUCCCUCUGAAUCCCAACCCGAAAGGGUCUCCUUUCCAUGGCCCGCCCGGCCCUCCUCCUGCCCUAGUCAUGCCAACUGCCCUGCCCUGGCCUCUUGGCAAAACGGAUGCGGUGCCCUUGCUUCCAGAACCGCUGGGGAGAGGCAGCACUCACUAAUGCCCCCCCCGCCCUGCAAAAAAAGGAUGAAGGAAGAACAGCCGACGUGUUGUGCACGUCGGGACCGCUGGAGGGAGGCGCCUUGCCCGGCUUGGCUUCCUUCCCUCUUGCCCACCGUCUCAGCUCAUCACCACCCUCUUCUC
RNAcentral lists this long non-coding RNA (825 nucleotides) under Pogona vitticeps (central bearded dragon). Its description in RNAcentral is "lncRNA (ENSPVIG00000011326.1)". Lineage: Eukaryota; Metazoa; Chordata; Lepidosauria; Squamata; Agamidae. The record is from RNAcentral.